RNAcentral lists this ribosomal RNA (292 nucleotides) under uncultured bacterium. Its description in RNAcentral is "partial 16S ribosomal RNA". It matches the Rfam family "Bacterial small subunit ribosomal RNA", at positions 505 to 796 of the family's 1533-position model. The record is from RNAcentral.
GUGCCAGCCGCCGCGGUAAGACGAACCGUGCGAACGUUGUUCGGAAUCACUGGGCUUAAAGGGCGCGUAGGCGGUCUGCCAAGUCCGGGGUGAAAGCCCCCAGCUCAACUGGGGAAGUGCCUCGGAUACUGGCGGACUUGAGGGAGGCAGGGGUUGUGGGAACUUCCGGUGGAGCGGUGAAAUGCGUUGAUAUCGGAAGGAACGCCGGUGGCGAAAGCGCACAACUGGUCCUCUUCUGACGCUGAGGCGCGAAAGCCAGGGGAGCAAACGGGAUUAGAUACCCCGGUAGUCC